GUUUGCAGACGCUCCCUGGCUGGGCUGGGUGGGGCUCGCCCGGAAAAGUGACUUUCGGUUUCGCUUUUCCAGCUUCUGCGCCACAGUCCGGGCUAGUGAAGAUCCCCGACCCCAGACCGAGAUGAGGAGCUGCGGCCUCCUGAACAGUUCCAACGAGCCGGUGCCCCUGCGCAGCGGCUCGGUGACGGUGCUGAUCCGAGGCUUCGUGGCGGACGUGGGCUGUGAGCUGCUCUACAGGAACGAUGAGCCGGGGCCCGUGGAGGCCGUGUUCGUGUUCCCCGUGGACGCCGAGGCGGCCGUCUACGCCUUCCAGGCCCGCCUGGGGGGCGCCUGCAUCCAGGCCCAGCUCCGAGAGAAGAAACAGGCGCAGGAGCUGUACGGGGAUGCGCUGGCUGGGGGGCAGAGCUCGUUCCUGCUGCAGCAGGAGGGGACCGGGGGCGACGUGUUCAGCUGCUCCCUAGGGAAUUUGCCCCCCGGGGAGGAGGCGGCACUGACCCUGCGCUACGUCUGUGAGCUGCCGCUGGAGCCCGAUGGAGCCGCCCGCUACAUGCUGCCAGCCGUGCUGCGCCCCCGCUACACGCCCCAUGGGUGGGACGGGGAGGACGUCACCCAGGGGGUCCCGCGAGUCCCCCAGGGAGAGCUGCCCUACACCUUGAGCCUGAGCGCCACGCUGCAGUCACCCCACGGCAUCGACCGCGUGCUCUCCAACUGCUCCCUCACGCCCCUGAGCUACACGGCCGGGAACCGGACCAGCGCCCAGGUGUCUCUGGCCGAGGCCCCCCCGUGGGACCGGGACAUGGAGCUGCUGGUGUAUUACGCGGAGCCGCACAAACCCAGCGCAGUGCUGGAGGUUGGGUUGCCCGGAGCAGAGCCAGGCUCCCUGAUGGGCGACCCAGCCGUGAUGGUGACCCUGCUGCCCAGCCUGCCUGAGGCGGUGCUGGGCCAGAGCUCAGCCGGGGAGUUCAUCUUCCUGCUGGACCGCUCCGGCAGCAUGGAGUGCCCCAUGGACGACCGAGACCGCUCACCCCAGCGCAUCGACAGCGCCAAGGAGACCCUGGUCCUGCUGUUGAAGAGUUUGCCCCUGGGCUGUUAUUUCAACAUCUACAGCUUUGGGUCUCGGUUCGAGUCCUUCUACCCCUGUUUGUGUUCACGGACGGGGAGGUGGGGAACACCCAGGACGUCAUCACUGAGGUGCAGCGUCACCGGGGGACCCACAGGUGCUUCUCCUUUGGCAUCGGGGAAGGGGCCUCCACGGCUCUGGUCAAAGGCAUCGCCCGGGUAGCAGGGGGCAGCGCCGAGUUCAUCACAGGCCAGGACCGCAUGCAGCCCAAGGCACUGCAGUCUCUGAAGCGGGCCCUGCAGCCGGCCGUGACUGGGAUCUCGCUGAGCUGGGAUCUGCCCCCCGGGAUGGAGGCGGCGCUGCUGGGCCGGGGCCCUGAGGUGAUCUUCCCUGGGCAGCGGUGCCUC
Mauremys reevesii (Reeves's turtle) is the source of this 1467-nucleotide RNA transcript. It is a transcript of the gene named von Willebrand factor A domain-containing protein 5A-like, with no coding region annotated. Lineage: Eukaryota; Metazoa; Chordata; Testudines; Geoemydidae. The transcript is spliced from 11 exons. The record is from RefSeq and is a predicted model, not a curated record.